UGCAACUUGCCGGUAAUCUGUCCAUGCUUCUAGUGUCUGUUUCGUGAGAUUUUGGCCUGUGCGUCGCGUACUGCAUUCUCAGGUUUCUCGAGUGACAGUUCCACAUGGGCCGGUGCUGCGUUCCUCGCUGUCGAGACAACAACGACGAGGGCCCAAUAGUGCAUGUGUUCACGUUUCCAAAGGACGAAGUUGUCAAAGAAUCAUAGCUGAAGGAGAUUCCACGCGUAGAUUUUAAACCGAGCUUUCGCUCCAAGGUCUGCGAACUGAAUUUUCUGCAAUCGGAAUUGUCGCGAAACUCACGCACAGCGAUGGGACCACUGGGAAGACGACUGAAAUCGAAAGCGAUCUACUACGACUGGUGCCAUGUGCUGUGGCUGCAGUUUAUUCAAACUGCCCGGCCUACAUGUCAUCUACGCGUGCUCGUCGCGAAUCAACGAACUCCAAACGCGCCAGGAUGAAGACACGACCCUUCAGAAAACGUAGAGCCAGAAGAGAAGUGAUGAAGAAUUCAGCGUCUUCUAUGACCACCUAAAAAGCAAGUUAGGAGGCAUCUGCAACACCAAUUUUAGAUAAUGAGUGUGACCGACAAGUGUGUGAUGUUUGUCCACAUUGAAA
Ornithodoros turicata is the source of this 615-nucleotide long non-coding RNA. RefSeq lists it as uncharacterized. NCBI's taxonomy places the organism in Eukaryota, Metazoa, Arthropoda, Arachnida, Ixodida, Argasidae. The transcript has 3 exons. The record is from RefSeq and is a predicted model, not a curated record.